RNAcentral lists this ribosomal RNA (282 nucleotides) under uncultured eukaryote. Its description in RNAcentral is "partial large subunit ribosomal RNA". It matches the Rfam family "Eukaryotic large subunit ribosomal RNA", at positions 40 to 350 of the family's 3401-position model. The record is from RNAcentral.
AUAUAAUUAGGCGGAGGAAAGGAAACUAACCAAGAUUCCCCCAGUAAGGGCGACUGAAGCGGGAAGAGCUCGCAGUGUGAAUCAGUUCGCCGAAUUGUGGUCUGUUUGCAUUAACGGCCGGGCAAGUCCCUUGGAACAAGGCAGCCGAGAGGGUGAGACUCCCGUCCGCCCGGCCAUGUGAGCAAACAAAUACGAGUCGAGUUGUUUGGGAUUGCAGCUCGAAGUUGGUGGUAAAUUCCAUCUAAGGCUAAAUAUUGGUGGGAGACCGAUAGCGCACAAGUA